AAGGCAGUCUGAAUAUGUAUUCUCAGCUCAUUUAGCACACAUUAUUACACAAUUAACAGUGUUCAAAAACCUCCCCGUCAGAAGGUUGUUGCCUGUUCAUCUGACCUCCUUUUGCUUUUGUUUUGCAAUCAGCAGGGAAAUAAAGGGAGACGGGAAGGAGCCAGAAAACAUCUGCUAAGAAGAGGCGAAUCACAGCGCUCCACGUCCGCCUCCAUCCUCAACUAUUUCUCUUUGUUUGAGCACAUGAUACAGCAUUAAAUAUGACUUUACCAGUAAUGCUCAGAGUAAUGCAUCCUACAGAGGUUUGUUUCUAUUAAACAGAUUUGUGCGUCCCUCUUCCUAUUGUCCAGCACACAGCGAUCAGUGUUCAAGCGACAGAAACAGAAAGCCGUUUUGGUUCAGAUACAUUUGUUUUGAAAGUGCUCUGUCAGUUGACUCACCCCUCCAUCCUGACCUCUUCCCUUUGGGGACUUGGUCGCUGUUUAAACUACGCUGCUGACUUCUUUGAACCUGAGAGCCACAGCAACAGCAUUGACAGCGCUGGCCGGGCUGCGCUUUCUCGCUCAGGUAGACAGAACUCCAGUUAACCUUUCCUAUUGUCAGAGUCUCAAUAUUAGAUAGAGACCCAGAACUUGUCUGGGGGAUUGAAUGGUUGGGCCUCCAAAAUUGCAGCUGGCCAUUAGUUGCAGCAGAAUCAGGAGACUUUAUUUCAGGAUUUAAAUUGCCAAAAAUAAUCAUUGUCAAUUGCGCCUCAUCAUGCCUGAAAAGGAAGCUCUAGCAGAAUGACGUCACUGCUAGUGUGUGUGUGUGUGUGUGUGUGUGUGUGUCUGAACCUGGUUCAGACGACCAUCUCCCAGUAAUUUCAUAUUUACUUAUAUUCAGUUAAAAACUCAUCUUUUUCUUCCUCUGCUAGAAUGAAAGAAAUUGGUUAAUUGUUGAAUUAUUUUUAUGUAUUAAUACGCGUGAUAAUUACGUUUAAUUCUGUCAAGGCCAUUUUCAUCAAACAGAUCAAUUUGUAGUAUUUUUGUGCUACAGGCACAUGGAAGCAGUGCUAUAUAGGCCAAUGGAUCUAUUUACUGUUGCUCUACGCACUCCAGAGAUCAGGCUCUCUGCACUAGAAAUGAAACAGUGACUUUCAUUGUUCCAAACUAAGAAAGAAGAGCACAAACACAAGAGUUUGCACCGACUCUAAGUAACAGAAGCACUGCAGUGAGGCUUUUUGAAGGAAUUAGAAAUGAUUGCUUUGUGUUUACAUGAGUGAAAAGGAUGAUUGAAGGGGAAGGUUACUUGUUAAUGUUAAUUCAUGUUGGUUGAUAACUAUGAAAAAGUCAAACGUGGUGCGUAUUCCGGUACCUUACUCCACAAUAUAUAAACUAAAGAUGGUAAAUAGUUGUUUACUCCAAUAUGCAUGCUCUUAAUAGGGUAUAUAGAGUAAAGUUCAACAGCCGAGAGAAAUGCGGUAACCUCUGUAUAUUGUUACCGCAUUUCUCUCUAAAAAGAACAAUGUUGCAACAAUAUUUGUCUGCUCCCCACUCAUCUUAGAGCGAGGAUGCAUUCUUGUGCUCAUUUCCAAAGAAGCUCCAAAGGACAACGUGUUCACAGUAUAAAUAUUUACAUUUUACCAAUAAAUUGCAAUUAAAUGUAUUUAUAUAUACAGUAUAUACACGUGUAGCAUUAAGUAAAAGUAAGUAAAUCACCCUUUUGCUCAUGCACAAAGCUCCUCUCCUUUUGCAUUUCCUCCGUCUCUCUGUGCUUCUUUUCCUUAUCUUACUCCUGCAUGCAGAGAGAGGAAGAGCUGAAGGAGAGAAAGGAAGACAACGGCCAAUUGAGAGAGAGAGAGAAUGCAAAUGUAGACAGAUGGUAAAUACUUCCCUCCUGUAGGGAACCAUGUCAGACUGCAGAGCACUGCUGCACUGCAUGACAAGAUCGGGCAGGAAGACCGUGUGUGUGUGUGUGUGUGUGUGUGUGUGUGUGUGUGUGUGUGCGUCUGUGACUAGGCAGCAGGCUCUCAGUGAAAGUAGGUGAAAGGGCUUUUCUGUUAGAGCGAGGCAGUGCAGAGUUGAGCAGAGCAGGGGAUAACAUAUAAUCUACACUCCCCCCGCCAUCUUUGCCAAGGGGGUGGGGUUGGGAGAUGGAUCGACAUGGGAGGAGAAGGGAGGGGGGGAGGGGGGGGCAGGAUGAGAGGAAAGAUUCGGAAGUCACUUGAUUAACUUUUUGAGUAGAGGCAGCAGUUUCUGGGUCUGAAGACGUCAUCCUUUCAGUUCACAUAUAGGGCUGUAAAAAGAACAGCGGCUGGAUCCAUUCUCAAACACAAGCUUGCCUACAGCGGUUUGUACCACAUGGAAGUUAAGUAUUAAGCUAAAUAUUGUGGAGAAAUCAAUUCGUUUCAAACACAACCCUUUGUGUCACAAUUUAACAUUACUCGUGCACCAGUUUCUAAGGAAAGGUAUUGGUAGGUGGAUCCAAAGCUCACCAGUUUGGCUCCCCUUCUAUCACAAUGUGGUGUAAUUGCUGAGGAAAAUAAGCAGAUAUUAUAUCUUUAUUAAUGGUCUAAUAACAAAUGUCUAUUUACCUUUGGGCUUGAAAUGCUACAUAUAAACAUGGUCAGACAAACACCAACUGUCACAAACGGCACAAACAACCGUAACAUUAAAAUUCAUGUAGUUCCUCUUUAGAGAACAUCAAUAAUAAGACUGGAGUUUGAAGGAAGGGUUCAUACUUUUGUAGCAUACUUUCAAGUCCUCUGUUACGUAACGCUGAGGUGUUUGGCUGCGGGAGAGACUUUCCGUUCACUGGGGAGGAAUCUGCUUUCACUGCCUCACAAGACGAAGCUAUAAAAAGAUAAGGAUUCAGUGUGUGUGUGUUUGUGUUUUUGUGUGUAUUAUAUGUGCGUUGGUGCAGUUGCCUAUGUGAGUUGGCUGCAGGCAUGAACUGGAAACGACAAUCAACAAUUACAGGCAGGCAGGCGUGGGGAUGGAGGCAGUGGAGGGGGAUGUUUAGCAGGAAGGAGAGAAAUGACUCAGGGCUUGUGUGCUUGGUUAGGUCAGAUAAUUAAUUGCUGACUGGAGACGGGGGGGGGGGGGGGGGGGUAAACCAAGAAAGCCGAGGUCACUUGAGGGCCACUUGCCUCACCGGAUUAGAUGGAUGAAAACAGCUAAACCAAACAAAGGGGCUAAACACACAGAAACUGAUACGUGAAGACAUCUUUAUCUUCAAAUGAAAGAGGGUUGAGCUCCAGGUUGUUAAUUAGAAGUAAAGUUGUGAUAAAAAGUAUUUGGAGAAAGCGUUUUGUCCACAUUUGGGUGACACACAGGUUUAGUUGAACAGUCGCUGACUACGCUUUGACGCAGAUCGUCUAUUGACAAAACCUCCCGGGACAAAUUGCACAAUUGUUAUUUUUUGUUUUAUAGGUGCGAGCAGUCCAGACAUAAAUGGAUUGUAUUAAUAAUCAUAGUGAGUAAAGAAGUAACAAGUGGGUUACAUUACAACUUAAAUGUUAAUGACUUAUGACAAUGAUUAACAAUAAACAUCACGCCUGUUUUCAAUUAAUGUGCAAUUUAUUAAUCCUAACAAGCAAAGAGAUCUUAAAACUGAGUCAAUGGAUCACCGUAUCUGUUCAGAACCCAGAGGUCACGUCUGCAUCUGCAUCAUUUGGGAUGGCCCGUCACUGCAAACACGAUAUCUCAUGAACUCCAACAGAGAAUUUGGGCAACACAACGACUUGGACUCAUGGAUGAACGCGUUAGAAUGUUUUGUUAGCAUCUCACCACAGUGGGAUAUUGGUUGCAAAUCUGGAUCUGGGAUCUGAAUCAAUAGACAGAAGACGGCCAGCUACAUUAGAUAAUCGAUUGUUUCAGAAACAUUUGUCAAACUGGAGUGUUAAAAGUUAAAGGCGUGUCAUUUUUUUAUCAAAAACAUGACAGCCUUGUUUGAAGGGCUCCAUGCAGUUAAAUAUACUCUUUUUGCAGCAUCCUUACAUAAUAGACACAAGGCACAACAAGCGAAAUAUUGUAACAUAUACAUUUAAAUCCAGGGUACCCGCUGACCAUCUGAAAGCUGACGUCCUCAUACUGCUGUGCUGCAUUUUCUCAAGAGCAUCCGAGUGUGUUUGUGUGAGUUGGGGGUGGGCAGGGUGCAGGUGGUGUUCAGGGAAUGGUGAGAAGGAAUAAAUGGUCUGAGAAAGUGAUUCCCUUAAGCGCACGGCCCAAUGAAACAGGAGGUGUGUGACGGUGCAGUGUGGUGGGGAGGAGGCAGGAGACAAGCAAACAAAUCAUAGAAGAAUGAUAGUAGAGGGGAUGGAUCCAGUCAAGGGGGUGAAAGAGAAGCAGCAUACACAUUGGAACGGACAGGAAAAACGUUUGAUGAUCCACAUCGGGGAGAGCUGAUUUCUCCAACACCAAAUUGCUAACUGUUUGGACAGAGAAAAAGACUACUCUACUGUAAAGUGCAAAUGAGGGCUAUGGGAACGUGCAAUAGCAGGGAUGAUGUACUAGUCUAGCAUUUUCACAAUGAAAUGGCAGCUGCAGUCGCAGCACAGCCAGCUGCAAAACAAAAACAAAAGUUUGUGAUAUCUGUUUGAAUCGCGAGAGACUAUUAAGCAUAUUUAUAUUUUUUAUUUAGCUGACGCGUUUAUCCAAAGCGACUUACAACAAGUGCAUUCAACCAAGAGGGUACAGACCAAACCACCAAAAAACAAGAAAGUAGUUUUUCAGGUAAGCCAAACUACAAAGUGCGUCAUGAGUAAGUGUCGUCGAAAGUGCUACUAAGUCCCAGCUACUCCAGAUGUGGUCACGCUGGAGCAUGAUGCUUUGAUAGAACCCGACUACAACAGAAAGCAGUGCUUAGCCAAAAGUUCUGAGUGAUAGUUUUCCACUGCAAUGAAAGAAAAUGUAAGUUACCACUUUUUACAUUACGACGCAGAAUGUAAAAACAACAUUGGUCACACACUAAGGGAGCUAGUAAUGAAUACCUAGCGAAAGAAAUAUUGAUCUGAGGCAUUGUGACCAGAAAGAUGUCAAUGUAAUGUUGAGGUCAACUAUAUGAGCCAAAAAACAACGGCAUCACCGUUUACAUAAAUGUUCUCAUGAGCAAGGCAGUGAGUGGGCACUUUCCCGGCCUGUCAGGUGAAAGGUUGUGGAAACGACUUGGGUGGCAGCUAACAGCGUGAUGCUAGUGCAUGAAACAUGAAGAGUGAUGCUUGUAAUGCAGGAUGCAAUGGGACUGAUUCACACAGGAGACAGAGAGGCGUUUGUGUUCCCGUUGCUGGCCCCAGUCACUACAGCUUCAGUGGUCAGAAGAAUUCCCCUGUGCCACGCUGAGUUGAAUAAUUUGUCAUGAAUCAACGUGCCUGUAUUAAGCGCUUCCCUCUGCUUGAUUUGUAAUUGAACAAUAAAACAGUCUGAGUUAAAAGUCCCAAACAACUUUAUUUGCACUUCUACACGGCCAUCAUGGAGUCCAUCCUCUGCUCCUCCAUCACCGUCUGCUACGCUGCAGCCACAGCCAAGGACAAGGGCAGGCUGCAGCGCGUCAUCCGCUCUGCAGAGAGGGUGAUCGGCUGCAACCUGCCGUCUCUCCAGGACUUGUUCGCUUCCAGGAUGUAGAAAAAAGAUUGUGGCCGACCCCUGUUUGUGUCCCUUCCAUCUGGCAGGAGGCUUUGUCUUAUUGUCCAAUGUUAUGCACCCAGCGUCAUGUCAAAUUCCCUGUAUGUCCAACAUACUGUGGCAAUAAAUAUUCCUGAUUCCUGAUUGUUGUAAUGUAAAAAGGUCAUCAGAUUGAAACAACUACAUUAAGGUACGGGGUGAGAACCUUGCAAGUUCAUUUAGUUUUAGCGUAAGAAUUCAACGAGGCAACCGCUAAAUGUUCUACUAGCGUGAGGAAACUGAUGAAUUGAUUGAUGCGUGUCUCCCACAUCCUUGCUUCAAAGGGCCUGAUAGAUACCCUCGCAGUACGGCUAUACCAACUGAGGAACGCCACAAUUACAGAAUGUACGGUAAUAGUUCCCUACAGGGGACACCAAGAGAAUAAAACAAUAUCAUGCCUUGAAAUGACUGACAAAGGAGCCUGACCAGAUGUAUUUGAUUGAGAAGACAGUCUAACAGUUAAUUGUAGCAGAGCUACAUGGAAUGCAUGCAAAGCGCAUGAGACCCCUGCGAGGAGGCGCCGCUGGGCUCAGAUAUCUUCUUGUAGCUGCGAACCGCAUAGUGGAAACCAAAUUUUGACCUGCACUGUGACCCGGAGUAAACGAUGAGACAGCAGAAAGAAGAUGAUAGGCUAACGGUGUAAUUGUCUCGUUGUACUAUUGUAUAGAAGAGACCAGCUGCUCAGAACAGCUGAUAUCUAGAUUGUCAGCUCGAGCAACAAUAGCCAGGAAAUGAUUAGUGAGAGGAAUGAACGGCAGAUGUAUGAGAAAUGUACCACAGGCCCAAUCACUAUGAGAUCAGCAUGCCAGUCUAGGAAAAGCAAUAGAAAUAGUUGACUGAAGGACUGACUAGAGAAGGGAGACUGAGAUUGGAGUACCUGUAGCAGCUAAUGUAGUCUUGAACCUCCAGCCUCCAGCAAAAGAAGCAUAAAAAACUGGUAGAUUUCACGUUUAAAUCACCAGGCGAAACAUUACAUUACACUGAUACGCUCUUCAAGUACUCAAACUAUGAUCCAAUGCAGAGGCGAGUCUCCCCAAACUCUACAGGAAUAGAAUCUGCAGGCUAAUGAGCACUAUCUCGAGUCGACUAUCUCUUCUCUGUUACAAGAGCAACGGUCUCCUUCGGUGUCUUUGGUAUUCUUUGGCAGACGUUGUGUAUGCACAGGAACUCUGAGGAAAAGCUAGUAUGUACGGUAAAGAUGAGUAGCUACAGUGACGCCUGAUGCUAUUUAGGGGUGAAAUGCUUCCAUUCCCAUCAACAGCCAUUAGUUGACGGGACAAGAGAAGAGCUUUUGCCAAUGUUGGACUCAGGGGGCGGGGCUCCGACUAUUUCCUGGAAGCAUUACAUAUCAGUGGUGACCGAGUACAUGCCGAGCACCAAAAAACUGUGUUGACUCAUAUUGUUGCCAGCACUUAUGGGGGGAUGGGGGGAUGGGAGCGGAGGGAUGGAAAGCAGACAGCUGAGUGCCGGGUCAGGGUUAAUGGAUAACGUCCCCCUGGACCAGAGACGACGACUGGUAUUCAUCUCUAGUGCACUCAUCAUUCAGGUCACAUGAGCUGAUGCGACUCUUUCAGCUUUGUGUGGCAGAAAACAAAUGGUGACAUUGAGGAGACUGCUUGUAACUUAUCUUUUUCCUUUCAUUAAAAAAAGAAUACCUUCAUUUUGACAGAACAAACCAGAUCUUUUCCCCGUUUGAGCAACAGGAUCAAUCCUGAAUCAACGCAUAAUUUACUUCUGAAAAUAAAAAAUAAGUAGGAACCAGGAAUCUGUCAGGUUGUUCUGAGGCCAGAGAGACUAACAGAACACUUUCCAGACUGAGAUGAAUGAAUCCAUCAAGCAGAAUCAAGUGUAGCUGCUUAGGGAGCCGCCGGCACUGAAGAACACUCCACAUAUUAUUACUCAAGGUCAAGUAUGAAGCAGCUCCCAUUAGAACGCUGCUGGGAAGCAUCCUGGCUAAGUGUGUCAAAGACGACUUUCAAUGUUGCUGUAGAAUCUAAUUAUCAAGGAAAGCACUUAGCAGGUGAUUAUAUUACUCCAGGACAAGACACUUUGAAAAGAGCAAGCCUUUUGCAUUAAUUUAUCAAUUAGGGAUGGCUAUGAAAAUCCGUCAGUCGUCGUUCUAUCCUUUUCAGACCGGGAAGCUAUGAAAUUGACUGUCCUUCCAUUGGGUUUACAGCUAAAUAGAAGUCAAUCUAAGAUAACAUUCCCAUUACCCACAGCGAUACUUUUUUUAAUGGCAAACGUCAGCAUGAACACAAAUGCUCCUUAACAUGUGUUGUUCAGCAAGACUUAAAAAAGUACCUCCAAUGCCUUCAAAACUUCUACGAUCAUUAACUUAGUGUUUAGGCAGCAGAAUAAUUGUUGCAUGGUCAAACAGAUUAGUUUAAUUUGUGUGUCCGCCACAAAAAAAGAUACAAAUUGAUAUUCCAUUGGCAUGGAAAAAACUAAACCUUUUGUUUGUUUGUUGGGAUUUUGAAGUGAAAUCAGACUGUUGCAACUUGUUUUAGGGGGACUGCUGGAAUGAGUCCUGAAUUCUGGCAAUGAGUCAACAAUUUUUCAUUUCCAGUCUCCCAGUCUCAAUAGUUUUAGUCAAUAGUUUUUCUUUUAACUGGUAUUUGGGUGAAUGCCUGGAAUAAUGUCUUUGGUUUUACUCUCCAACAUCCGGUAUGUCAACACCCUUGAUGAAUUCUAACCCUCCUACAUGUUGUUAAAGUGGCAAGUGGCUAAAUGCAGACUAGUCGGCCUUAAGCGAAGUUAUACCAAUUUUGCAGUUGCAUUUUUGGGCUAUAGAAUAUAACGGAAAAAUCCCAUUGGUAUUUUGUUCAGGGAACUGAGGUCAAUCAUGCUAACAUGGAGGAAUUUUGGCCCACUCUUCCAAAAAGUUCCACUUCUCAUCAGGUCUCAUCAGCCCACAGAAUAUUUGGCCAAAAAUAUUGAACAUUUUAUUUUGGCAAAUGUGAGAGGAGCUUUUGUGUUCUUCUGUGUCAGCAGCGGCUUUCGUCUCUCUGACCUGAGGCCAGUGAGGCACUUCUUCACAUUCUGGCGUCCUUGAUGACCUCCUCGAUAAGUCGUCGAUGCGCUCUUGGAGUAAGUUCCAAGUCUUCUCCAUUUGUGGUUAACGUCUCUCUACGUGGUUCUCUGGUCCCAAAGCCUUCAGAACGGCUCUGUAAACCUUCCCAGACUGAUGCAUGUAUGUCAAUUACUUUCUUUCUCAUCACGUUUCAUUAACGAUUUUGUCACACCUUCUCCAGCGACAACCCAAAAGCAGGCGUAGAUAUAGUCCAGGUGAGUAUUUAUCGACAAGGGAAGUGGUUUUGCCAACGUGCAGACAGGAGAAUGCUGGUGGUGUCGUGGUGAGGGAAAAACAAUGGGUCAGUACACAAACGACUACUACAAGGAGUAAGAUGAAUUCAAUGGUUGCGGCUUGAUACGCGAGCUAAACAUACUGGUAUGGCUAACGAUCCGGCAGGGACUGGAUGUCAGGUCUCUGCCUAAAUGCUGUGGUGGUGCUCGUCAGGGCCAGGUGUGUGAUUGGGCACAGGUGCGAGCCGACGCUGUUGAUCUUGUCGUUGCUUGGCAACCGGAAAUAAAUCAACAGACCAGGAAACCCUACUCAGGGAGCAGGGGUCAUGACAGAUUUAUCAAGAGGGGCAAACACUUUUCCAGAAUCUGUCUUCGUCUAAUGUAAAAAAUGUAUUUUAUUCAAAACAUGUAAGUGUGACAAAUAUGCAAAGAAAAGAAAAAACAGUUCCUGUUUCCCUCCAUCUAUCCAUCUCCGUGUGGGAAGAUUAUGGAGGUGAUGGGCUUGGUUAACAGCUAUGAGAAAGGUAGAAGAAAAAGAUGUGAAAAGAGGAAUGGAAAGUAUCCAGCGAGAGAGAGAGAGAGAGAGAGAGAGAGAGAGAGAGAAUGUGGAGCCUUCAGAAACUAGAGUAAGGGAGGGAAAUGGGGGGCGUCUAAAUGAGGGAAACGAGAUAACGAGAGGAAGGAGAGAGAGUGAAGGAACGAGGGCUGAGAAGUCAGAGCAAAUGAGUGUGAAUUUGUGGAGAGGGGAGAAUAAGAGAGGAAACAUUGUGAAUAGUGUGUAGGUGUGUGUGUAAAGUGCAGAGAACACGCAGGGCGACGGCAGGCUGUGCUGCAUGAUCAGCACUGCUAUUUAUAGAUCUGUGCAAACAGGAUCUGUGCAGCAGCCUGCAGACCUGCACGAUUAUCUCUCUUAAUACUGUGUCACGUUAUCAGGGAGGGACGUUGUUGUGAUGGGCUUUGUCAAUGUAUUUCUUGCUCUUUUCCUCAUACAAACAUUUUGCACUUGCAGUAAACAAGUGGUGAGACCUCAGCAUGCCUCAAACGAAGUGCCAACAGACGCACGCGUCUGCACACUUAUCUUUGGAAUAAGGCAUGACAUUAAACUUUCAGUCAUACAUUUUUCUUUUUUUAUACAUAUACUUACAUAACUUUUAAAGGCUUCAAAAUGGCAAAAGUGGCCAUCAGAAGAUGGUACACUGUGGUCAUAAAGGGAUGGACAUGGUCAGUAACAACACUCAGGCUGCAGCAUUUAAAUGAUGCUCAAUUGAUACCAAGGGGCCCAAAGUGUGCCAAGAAAAUAUCCCCCCCCCCACCAUCAGCCACCUUCUCCCCCCACCUACACCACCAGCAGAUUGAAGCGUUGCCGGAUGGAUCCAUGCAUUCAUGUUGUUUACUCCAACCAUCUGAAUGUCUCAGACCAGACCGUGUUUUGAAUCUUCUACUGUCCCUUUGUGGUGAGCCUGUGUGAGCUGUAGGCCCAGUUUCCUGUUGCUAGCAGACAGGAGGGCCCCCCCCCCCCGGAGUGGUGGUCUGCUGCUGUAGCCCGUCUUCUUCAAGGUUCCUCGUGUUGCGCGUUCAGAGAUGGUGUUCUUCAUUCCUUAAGUUGUAACGAGUGGUUCUUUGAGUUCCUGCUGCCUUUCUAUCAUCUCCAACCGGU
Molecule: long non-coding RNA, 10599 nt
Organism: Gasterosteus aculeatus aculeatus (three-spined stickleback)
Lineage: Eukaryota; Metazoa; Chordata; Actinopteri; Perciformes; Gasterosteidae
Source: Ensembl